This 253-nucleotide ribosomal RNA is filed under the name uncultured bacterium. RNAcentral's name for it is "partial 16S ribosomal RNA". It matches the Rfam family "Bacterial small subunit ribosomal RNA", at positions 524 to 776 of the family's 1533-position model. The record is from RNAcentral.
UACGUAGGGUGCAAGCGUUAAUCGGAAUUACUGGGCGUAAAGCGUGCGCAGGCGGUUGUGCAAGACAGAUGUGAAAUCCCCGGGCUUAACCUUGGAACUGCAUUUGUGACUGCACGGCUAGAGUGUGUCAGAGGGGGGUAGAAUUCCACGUGUAGCAGUGAAAUGCGUAGAUAUGUGGAGGAAUACCGAUGGCGAAGGCAGCCCCCUGGGAUAACACUGACGCUCAUGCACGAAAGCGUGGGGAGCAAACAGG